UCUAAUUGAUUAUCCUACUAGGACUUUGAUUCAAAUUAAAAUAUUAGAUGGCAUAUAACAGUUGGUGUAGCACCCCAAACCCGGCCCAGAAGUUAUGGCUGGAUCCGGCAUGCCACAUCAAAAACGUAAAAAAAAAUUUCCAUUCUAAGUCCAGAAAAUCGUACUUGAUGUUCAAAAGAUUAAUUCAUUAAGGGUUAAAGCGAAUGGAAGCUGUGCACCAGGUAGGAAACCGGAAAAGAGGUGGUGAGUCCAUCGGACUGCUUAAGUACCAAGCUCCAUUCGGAUCCAAUCCUAGACAUGCAUACCGUCAUUGCCACACCUUAACGUCAUGGAUAUUUCUAAGAAACCGAUUUGAUUAAGUCAUUUUUAGGAAAAGUGAUUAAUUUUGGAAAAUACUUUCAUUACAGAAGCUUUGCUUGUUGUCGUGUUAUUUUGAAAUCAACUGUUGUUUUUGAAAACGCGCCCUAAAGCUAUCCAAUUUCAACAGUUAAAAUAAGUAUUACCUAUCUUAGUAAUACAUAUUAAAACCAUCAAAAAUAAUUAAGCGGGCUUAUUACAUUUAAAAACCCAAAACUUCAAACGUAAAUAAAAGGAUGUCCAGUUCACCAGAAGAAAAUCAAACUUUCAGAACGGGUGACCACUCCGAAUUCCCUCACAGCUCCAAGCCCACUAUGGUUGGGGAUUACCUGCGUGGAUGAAAAUAAAAGGGGUGAGUUUGGGGAAACUCAGUGUGUAAAUUAACCCAACCAUAGUCUAUAUCAGCUCAAACCACAGAAAUAGAAUAAGUUGGCCUUAGCCUAGAACAAAAUUCAAAAUAAAGCCCAUAGGCCCAUAACAAAACAGAACAGAUAUUACAUGUUUAUGCAGAAACCCAACCAUAUCCAACCGUAUACACCCCCGUACCAACCUUACACCGUGUGGGGAGACAACUCGACCCACCCAACCGCUACACACCACAGAAUUUGCAGCAUGGCUGCCAGAACAGAUAAUGUGAUAGAGUCACCAGAUACAGAUAAUCGUGGCAGAGCCACCAGAACAGAUAUUUGUGGCAGAGCCACCAGAUCAGAUAUUUGUGGCAUAGCCACCAGAACGCUUCCUCCAUAAUAUAACCCAUGUCCCCAUGCAACAGAUAUAUAAUCAUGGCAUACAUCAUACAGAAUUAGAUCGUCAUGCUUUUCAGUCAAAAUUAACCCUAGGGGUAUAACGGUAAUUUUACACCUAGGAGUAUAACAGUAAUUUUCCAUACAUAGGGGUAUUAUAAUAAUUUAGCUACUUUUAGCAUUUUCAUGCAUAUCCUAACUAUUUACGUACUAUCAGAACACUUACCGCGCAUACUUACCGAAUUGGGCCCGUUGGCCCAUGAACCCGAUCUUUGGCCCAUUAAGCCCAAAUUAUCAAAAUGUACGAAAUCGCGCGUACUGCAGUUUAUUACUUUAGAUUACCAAAUAUACAAACCCAACUAUUUUACGAGCAUUCGCACACUCGCAAAUUCCCAAAAUACCGACUUUUCGGUAUUUCGGCUUUUCGGCUUUUGCCAAUCUAGUCUAUGAGAGGGUGUCAGUUACACACCUGUUUGCGACGAUAUGCUGACGAGAUCCACACACGAACCGCCUACAAUUGGAUUACUAACACGUUAAUCUAACUAUUCAAAUACAAACUACGUAUUAACCCCUUACAAUAUUCGGCCAACCACACCUGCAGAUCAUAGUAAGCUUAUAAGAAAUCAAUAAGCAACUCAUUAACAAAUUUUUGUUAAUGUUUACCACAUAAUCAUAAUUUCACUGCAAGCUGUCUUCCUGAGCAACAGUCACUAAAUCAUUUAUAACUGGAGCUACGAAACUCCAAAUCAAGUUCCGUUAAUUUUCCCUGAAAAUAGACUCAUAUAUCUUAUAUCCAUAAAAUUUUCAGAAUUUUUGGUUUAUCCAAUCAAUACCAGAUAUUUCUCAAAGUUUCCCAUGUUUCACUGUUUGACUAAUCUGACCACUCUUCAUUACGAAUCAAAUUUCUCAUUGUACAGAAUUCAAAAUAUGUUCUUGUUUAUUUCAUUAGAAACUAGACUCAAUAAGCUUUAAUUACAUAAUUUAUUCAGCUUCUAAUUCAUCUCCCACAGUUUAUGGUGAUUUUCCAAAGUCACGUUACUGCUGCUGUCCCAAGCAGAUUUAUUACCAAAUCACUCUUUCACACCUAUCUUGUAUGCAUGUUAUUUAAACAUGUAUAUCACCAAUCAAUCAUCACAUAUCUAUGAUUUUUACUUAAGCAUAAUCUCCAUUUCAUCAUUUUAAAGCACAACAUGUUAGCCGAUUUUCCCCUUUAGCAUUUAAGGCACAUGCACGCUCAUUUGUUUGGCUCAACUUCACAUAUCUUCCAUUUUUCAUCAAAAGAACAUGAAACAACAACCAUUUCCUUCAUUUUAAUUCAUGACCAAAUGCUCACAACACAACCAAAAAUCAAAAUAUACUUCAAGAGUUAAGGUAGAAUCAAGAAGAACUCAUGAACCUCAAAAUAGAAGCAAGGUACCAAGAACUUACCUUCAAUUUUCCUCCUCCUAAUGACCGAAUACUCAAGAGCUUUCUCCUCUCCUUUCUCUUCUCUAACUUUCAGCUAUGAUGAACAAAAAUGGACAAAACUUUGUUCUUUU
RNAcentral lists this long non-coding RNA (2638 nucleotides) under Gossypium barbadense (sea-island cotton). RNAcentral's name for it is "long non-coding RNA (GBAR_LNC007949)". The record is from RNAcentral. Lineage: Eukaryota; Viridiplantae; Streptophyta; Magnoliopsida; Malvales; Malvaceae.